Long non-coding RNA from Calliphora vicina (urban bluebottle blowfly), 595 nucleotides. RefSeq lists it as uncharacterized. The transcript has 2 exons. The record is from RefSeq and is a predicted model, not a curated record. NCBI's taxonomy places the organism in Eukaryota, Metazoa, Arthropoda, Insecta, Diptera, Calliphoridae.
AUUUUAUUCGUACAAUUAGUUGUAAAAAUAUCAACAAUGGAGCAAGACAUCAGAACCGAAAAUAAAAUUUCUGCGCAAAGCUUUAAUAAUGAUGAGCAACCGGACCAUCAAAGACAACAAAUGGGGAUAUACAAAAGUGUUAGAUGCCACAGAAAUUGCCUAAGCUUUACAACUUCCGGUGUGGUUAUUUUACUACAUAAUAUGUUAAAUACACGUCUAUUACUAUAGUUUUGCUAUUAUUUUUUAAAAGCUUUUAUUUGACAUCCUAUGUUGGUUUAUUUUUAACUGAAUUUUUGAACAAGUAUUCAUGCAUACGCCUGAUGACAAUGCAAUACAUAUAUGUACGAAAGUUCUCUAUCUCUAAAUCAUUGAUACUCAACUUUUAAUUUUAGUUGAGUCUUACAUUUUCCAAUUUUGAAAUAAAAAUUUAAAAAAUAAUAUCAAAUUUUAAACUAUCUCACUAUCAGUAUCAGAAUAUAAACUUUAAAUUGGAUUAUUCAAGAAGCUCUAAAAAGAAAAUAAUAAAAAAAUUAAAAAAAGGUUUAACAUAUUUAAAUGCUCUAAACUGAAGAAAAUAAACUUUCAAAAGCGACUA